This is a small nucleolar RNA of Triplophysa dalaica, 76 nucleotides long. RefSeq annotates it as small nucleolar RNA SNORD111. The transcript has a single exon. Lineage: Eukaryota; Metazoa; Chordata; Actinopteri; Cypriniformes; Nemacheilidae. The record is from RefSeq and is a predicted model, not a curated record.
GUUGUAGAAAUGAUGAAUAUCAUGUCUCUUCUCUGACUUUUUGAUGAAGAGAAUCUUGUUAUUUCUGAUCUUUAAG